This 456-nucleotide ribosomal RNA is filed under the name Triticum aestivum (bread wheat). RNAcentral's name for it is "partial small subunit ribosomal RNA". Lineage: Eukaryota; Viridiplantae; Streptophyta; Magnoliopsida; Poales; Poaceae. The record is from RNAcentral.
AUGGAGCUCGAUCUCCCGCCGCCGCGACAGGCACCGCCGCUGACCGACCUGGCCGCCGCCAUCCGCCUGGCCGCCGAGGCCGCGGCCGCGCUCUCCGCGCCAUCAUCCUCCUCGGCCGCAGCCGCUGCGGCCGCCACCCUCCGCGACGCUCACGCCGCCAUCGGCAGCUUCCUCUCCCGCCUCGAUGCGCCCGCCGCCGUGCCGUCCGACAACGAUCAGCCCAUGGCGGAUGGCUGCGAGGCGGGGGAGCCGAUGAUCGGGGAGGUGGAGGACGGGCUCCGGGAGUGCGCCCUGCAGGGGAACAAGCGCCGGAAACGGCCCGUCCCGCCUUCGUGGCCCCUCGGGCCCCGUUCGAGUGGCGCUUGCGUGGCGCCGGAGGCCACCGCCGAGCCGGUGCUGGACGUGCAACGGCGGCGGGGUGCUGCCAUGGAUCUCUUGCUGCAGUUCCAUGCGUAG